CCUACGGGGGGCAGCAGUGAGGAAUAUUGGUCAAUGGGCGGGAGCCUGAACCAGCCAAGUCGCGUGAGGGAAGACGGUCCUAUGGAUUGUAAACCUCUUUAGGCGGGGAGCAAUGCCGGGCACGCGUGCCCGGAGGGAGAGUACCCGCAGAAUAAGCAUCGGCUAACUCCGUGCCAGCGGCCGCGGUAAUACGGGGGAUGCGAGCGUUAUCCGGAUUUAUUGGGUUUAAAGGGUGCGUGGGAGGAUUUUUAAGUCAGGGGUAAAAUGUCCGGGCUCAACCCGGGCCGGCCGUUGAAACUGGGCGUCUUGAGUGGGCGUGAAGUAGGCGGAAUGUGUGGUGUAGCGGUGAAAUGCAUAGAUAUCACGCAGAACUCCGAUUGCGAAGGCAGCAUACCGGCGCCCGACUGACGUUGAGGCACGAAAGCGUGGGGAUCGAACAGGAUUAGAUACCCUUGUAGUC
This 460-nucleotide ribosomal RNA is filed under the name uncultured bacterium. RNAcentral's name for it is "partial 16S ribosomal RNA". It matches the Rfam family "Bacterial small subunit ribosomal RNA", at positions 338 to 795 of the family's 1533-position model. The record is from RNAcentral.